UCAUCGGUAGUAUAGUGGUCAGUAUCCCCGCCUGUCACGCGGGAGACCGGGGUUCGAUUCUCCGCAGAGGAG
RNAcentral lists this transfer RNA (72 nucleotides) under Leptinotarsa decemlineata (Colorado potato beetle). RNAcentral describes it as "tRNA-Asp". It matches the Rfam family "tRNA". Rfam says of the family: Transfer RNA (tRNA) molecules are approximately 80 nucleotides in length. Their secondary structure includes four short double-helical elements and three loops (D, anti-codon, and T loops). Further hydrogen bonds mediate the characteristic L-shaped molecular structure. tRNAs have two regions of fundamental functional importance: the anti-codon, which is responsible for specific mRNA codon recognition, and the 3' end, to which the tRNAs corresponding amino acid is attached (by aminoacyl-tRNA synthetases). tRNAs cope with the degeneracy of the genetic code in two manners: having more than one tRNA (with a specific anti-codon) for a particular amino acid; and 'wobble' base-pairing, i.e. permitting non-standard base-pairing at the 3rd anti-codon position. Lineage: Eukaryota; Metazoa; Arthropoda; Insecta; Coleoptera; Chrysomelidae. The record is from RNAcentral.